Molecule: ribosomal RNA, 897 nt
Filed under: Mycobacterium sp.
Lineage: Bacteria; Bacillati; Actinomycetota; Actinomycetes; Mycobacteriales; Mycobacteriaceae
Description: bacterial SSU rRNA
Rfam family: Bacterial small subunit ribosomal RNA
Source: RNAcentral
GGGGUACUCGAGUGGCGAACGGGUGAGUAACACGUGGGUGAUCUGCCCUGCACUUUGGGAUAAGCCUGGGAAACUGGGUCUAAUACCGAAUAUUUCCUUCUGGUUGCAUGGCUGGGAGGGGAAAGCUUUUGCGGUGUGGGAUGGGCCCGCGGCCUAUCAGCUUGUUGGUGAGGUUAUGGCUUACCAAGGCGACGACGGGUAGCCGGCCUGAGAGGGUGACCGGCCACACUGGGACUGAGAUACGGCCCAGACUCCUACGGGAGGCAGCAGUGGGGAAUAUUGCACAAUGGGCGCAAGCCUGAUGCAGCGACGCCGCGUGGGGGAUGACGGCCUUCGGGUUGUAAACCUCUUUCAAUAGGGACGAAGCGUAAGUGACGGUACCUAUAGAAGAAGGACCGGCCAACUACGUGCCAGCAGCCGCGGUAAUACGUAGGGUCCGAGCGUUGUCCGGAAUUACUGGGCGUAAAGAGCUCGUAGGUGGUUUGUCGCGUUGUCCGUGAAAACUCACAGCUUAACUGUGGGCGUGCGGGCGAUACGGGCAGACUUGAGUACUGCAGGGGAGACUGGAAUUCCUGGUGUAGCGGUGGAAUGCGCAGAUAUCAGGAGGAACACCGGUGGCGAAGGCGGGUCUCUGGGCAGUAACUGACGCUGAGGAGCGAAAGCGUGGGGAGCGAACAGGAUUAGAUACCCUGGUAGUCCACGCCGUAAACGGUGGGUACUAGGUGUGGGUUUCCUUCCUUGGGAUCCGUGCCGUAGCUAACGCAUUAAGUACCCCGCCUGGGGAGUACGGCCGCAAGGCUAAAACUCAAAGAAAUUGACGGGGGCCCGCACAAGCGGCGGAGCAUGUGGAUUAAUUCGAUGCAACGCGAAGAACCUUACCUGGGUUUGACAUGCACA